AGGGAAUCUUCCGCAAUGGACGAAAGUCUGACGGAGCAACGCCGCGUGAGUGAGGAAGGCCUUCGGGUCGUAAAGCUCUGUUGUGAGGGAAGAAGCGGUACCGUUCGAAUAGGGCGGUACCUUGACGGUACCUCACCAGAAAGCCACGGCUAACUACGUGCCAGCAGCCGCGGUAAUACGUAGGUGGCAAGCGUUGUCCGGAAUUAUUGGGCGUAAAGCGCGCGCAGGCGGCUUCUUAAGUCUGAUGUGAAAUCUCGGGGCUCAACCCCGAGCGGCCAUUGGAAACUGGGGAGCUUGAGUGCAGAAGAGGAGAGUGGAAUUCCACGUGUAGCGGUGAAAUGCGUAGAGAUGUGGAGGAACACCAGUGGCGAAGGCGACUCUCUGGUCUGUAACUGACGCUGAGGCGCGAAAGCGUGGGGAGCAAAC
RNAcentral lists this ribosomal RNA (426 nucleotides) under uncultured bacterium. Its description in RNAcentral is "bacterial SSU rRNA". It matches the Rfam family "Bacterial small subunit ribosomal RNA", at positions 356 to 773 of the family's 1533-position model. The record is from RNAcentral.